This 492-nucleotide ribosomal RNA is filed under the name uncultured bacterium. Its description in RNAcentral is "partial 16S ribosomal RNA". It matches the Rfam family "Bacterial small subunit ribosomal RNA", at positions 29 to 507 of the family's 1533-position model. The record is from RNAcentral.
AGUGAACGCUGGCGGUAGGCCUAACACAUGCAAGUCGAACGGCAGCACAGUAAGAGCUUGCUCUUACGGGUGGCGAGUGGCGGACGGGUGAGGAAUACAUCGGAAUCUACUUUUUCGUGGGGGAUAACGUAGGGAAACUUACGCUAAUACCGCAUACGACCUACGGGUGAAAGCAGGGGAUCUUCGGACCUUGCGCGAUUGAAUGAGCCGAUGUCGGAUUAGCUAGUUGGCGGGGUAAAGGCCCACCAAGGCCACGAUCCGUAGCUGGUCUGAGAGGAUGAUCAGCCACACUGGAACUGAGACACGGUCCAGACUCCUACGGGAGGCAGCAGUGGGGAAUAUUGGACAAUGGGCGCAAGCCUGAUCCAGCCAUACCGCGUGGGUGAAGAAGGCCUUCGGGUUGUAAAGCCCUUUUGUUGGGAAAGAAACGCAGCAGGUUAAUACCCCGCUGUUCUGACGGUACCCAAAGAAUAAGCACCGGCUAACUUCGUG